GACGAACGCUGGCGGCGUGCUUAACACAUGCAAGUCGAACGGAAAGGCCCUGCUUUUGUGGGGUGCUCGAGUGGCGAACGGGUGAGUAACACGUGAGUAACCUGCCCUUGACUUUGGGAUAACUUCAGGAAACUGGGGCUAAUACCGGAUAGGAGCUCCUGCUGCAUGGUGGGGGUUGGAAAGUUUCGGCGGUUGGGGAUGGACUCGCGGCUUAUCAGCUUGUUGGUGGGGUAGUGGCUUACCAAGGCUUUGACGGGUAGCCGGCCUGAGAGGGUGACCGGCCACAUUGGGACUGAGAUACGGCCCAGACUCCUACGGGAGGCGCAGUGGGGAAUAUUGCACAAUGGGCGGAAGCCUGAUGCAGCAACGCCGCGUGCGGGAUGACGGCCUUCGGGUUGUAAACCGCUUUCGCCUGUGACGAAGCGUGAGUGGCGGUAAUGGGUAAAGAAGCACCGGCUAACUACGUG
This 467-nucleotide ribosomal RNA is filed under the name uncultured bacterium. Its description in RNAcentral is "partial 16S ribosomal RNA". It matches the Rfam family "Bacterial small subunit ribosomal RNA", at positions 28 to 507 of the family's 1533-position model. The record is from RNAcentral.